Molecule: long non-coding RNA, 1041 nt
Organism: Pogoniulus pusillus (Red-fronted tinkerbird)
Lineage: Eukaryota; Metazoa; Chordata; Aves; Piciformes; Lybiidae
Exons: 4
Source: RefSeq, a predicted model, not a curated record
CGGAGCCGGGCUGGGGUUUCGCGUGCUGCUGCUGAGGCUCUCGGACGCGGCCUACUCGCUUUGGCCGUGUGCGGCGCAUGGCUCGUCUCGGGAGUGGUCCCGGAGAGCCCGGGAGUCGGCGCCCGGAAGGGUUGUGAGCAGCCCCGGGGGGCCGCGAGUCGCCUUUCCCUGAGGGGUCAGGCUCCGCAGGCCGCGGCGGUGCGAGCGGCUGCAGGAAUGGCCUGCGAGCCGGCGUCCUGCUCCUCUGCGGGCAGCUGGGCCUCGGCGGACCUCCGGCGCUCCCUCGUGUACUGCGGCUUGUGGCCGGGCUGCGUGCCGUUAACAGUCUGCGGGGUGAAUGAUCAGAUCUUCUUCCUCCGCGUUGCUUUCUUAGCAAAGCUCCGCUCGCACAGGCUCUGGCCAUUUUUAGGAUAGUCGGAAAUCUUGACAAACAGUGCUGCUUCUCAGCACAGGAGAUCAACAUUCUUCCGUGGAAGUGAGCAAAGCAAACCCUUGAUGGUACUCACAGCCUCGGCUAUGUGAGCUGACAGUGGUGACGGCUGGUUAGUGUUCCGGACACUACUUCAGAGAGGGUCAGAUUUAUAAAGGAAAACUCCACCAUAUUUCCCAGAGGCCUUGUCAGGGAAAUCAAAGACUCAAAGGAUAUACAGUACCUGUGAACCAGUACUUCAGCCUCCAGUCUUGAGAACAUUUGGACAGACUAAUGAGACCACAUUGGAAAUGGGCAAAGGAAAUAAAAGGAGGGAAACAAAUGAAGCCCCAGCGAGGCCAUUCUAAAGGUGUUGGGUCUGAUGAGAUUCCCUAGAGAGGCUGAAGGUUAACACGGGCUACCUUGAAAGAUGCAAACAGUAAUGUGUCUUCAGAGCAGGCAGCUCCAGAGCAAGUUGAGAGCCUUAGCAUAAAAGCAGGCCACUUUUCGUUAGACCACCUCCUUUUGCACUGGGGGGAUGCGAACACUCCCGUCUCAAGCACAUGCUGUAAAACUCUCAGUUACAGCCUGUAACAACAGCCUCUUGGGACAGUUUGAGCCAGCCACUGGCC